AUUGAACGCUGGCGGCAUGCUUUACACAUGCAAGUCGAACGGUAACAGGCCUUCGGGUGCUGACGAGUGGCGAACGGGUGAGUAAUGCAUCGGAACAUACCCAGUCGUGGGGGAUAACGUAGCGAAAGUUACGCUAAUACCGCAUACGUCCUGAGGGAGAAAGCGGGGGAUCGCAAGACCUCGCGCGAUUGGAGUCGGCCGAUGUCAGAUUAGCUAGUUGGGUGGGGUAAACGGCCCACCAAGGCGACGAUCUGUAGCGGGUCUGAGAGGAUGAUCCGCCACACUGGGACUGAGACACGGCCCAGACUCCUACGGGAGGCAGCAGUGGGGAAUUUUGGACAAGUGGGGGAAACCCUGACUCCAGCCAUGCCGCGUGC
Molecule: ribosomal RNA, 377 nt
Filed under: uncultured bacterium
Lineage: Bacteria
Description: bacterial SSU rRNA
Rfam family: Bacterial small subunit ribosomal RNA
Source: RNAcentral